Molecule: transfer RNA, 72 nt
Filed under: Geranomyces variabilis
Lineage: Eukaryota; Fungi; Chytridiomycota; Chytridiomycetes; Spizellomycetales; Powellomycetaceae
Also listed under: 1 other name
Description: tRNA-Pro
Rfam family: tRNA
About the family: Transfer RNA (tRNA) molecules are approximately 80 nucleotides in length. Their secondary structure includes four short double-helical elements and three loops (D, anti-codon, and T loops).
Source: RNAcentral
AGCUCGAUGGUCUAGUGGUACGAUUCUCGCUUCGGGUGCGAGAGGUCCCGGGUUCAAGCCCCGGUCGAGCCC